This is a long non-coding RNA of Athalia rosae (coleseed sawfly), 1326 nucleotides long. RefSeq lists it as uncharacterized. The record is from RefSeq and is a predicted model, not a curated record. NCBI's taxonomy places the organism in Eukaryota, Metazoa, Arthropoda, Insecta, Hymenoptera, Athaliidae. The transcript has 4 exons.
CAUGACUGCUGGACACUCGAACUAAUCUCAUGUCUUCAUGCAUGCUGGAAUUGACGCUCACCAUGCACAACUGUUGAUAGACGUAUAGUUGUCAAACGGUGUUUCGAAAAUUACUCAAACAAAAAAAACUAGUGCUCUAACGAUUAAUGAAAUCAGCAGCUUACACUGGAGCCACAAUCGACAGCAGUUUUCAUGUUUCCCUCAAGUGGAAUGAGUCCUCCAAUUCGAGGCAUAUAAAAGCUUUGACUCCAAUCUGGACGAGCUAAUUGUAGAGCUGGAGAAGUGUAAUAAGUGUCACCAAGCCCUACGCCAAAGUGAAAUGUUCCCUGAAACAGUCACAUUCAAUGAAAUGUUUUAUAAUUAAAUUUUCCUAAUAUUUUCCACCCACUAAUAAGCAAACGGCGAGAUUUCUGCUUACGUCUAGUUUCGGAGGGGUCACAAUUCCGUAGUGCGGAACCUGGCAGAGUUCGAUAUCUUCUGAUACUAAAGAUAAAUGGCAUCCGAGAGAAUUCAGUAUAAAACACCACGGCUGCAACUCCAAUAAUAGAGUACUGGAGAUGAGUCCGGCAUCUUGAUAUUUCACCUAGAAAAUACAGCGCUUUUGAAUUGAGGGUUGAAAGUUAUGGAUGACUAAAACAGGCGAAUUCGAAUCUCAUUUACUUGAACAUGAGUUUGGGGUUGUUCAGCUGAUGUCCAUUCAGAAUUUUCUCUGGUCUACCGAACUAUACGACAGCGGCACAUAUGGAUUUGAAGCUGAUAUACCUGAUCUAAUGAUCAAAUGAAAAUUGCACUGAUAUUAUUGAUACGUUACAAACAAUGACACAAAUUUCAUUGAAAUGGAUAAAAAAUAUAAGUCUGGACUUUACUCGAGUUGAAACGUAAGCUGAUGAAAGUGUUCAAAAGUUCCAGGACAGUACAAUUGCUGUCUUUCUCCACUUCCAUUGACAUUUGCAGACAACGAAACUUUCAAAGAAGGAGUUUCCAUCUGUACCUUUGCCGGCACGGGCAGCAAACGCCUGACUCCAAGCCCAGGAAUUAUCUUCAAUGGCGAUCCUCAAUAAUUGAUUGUUAACACUGCGCCAAAAAUAAAAGUGACACUGUCUACUUUGGAGUAUGGUGUUGUCUUCAGUACCGCUCUGUCCAAAACGAAUCGGAAUGUUGCUGUCAUUAGCAAUUACAUAUCUUUGGGUCCAGCACUUCGUGCAUAUUGAGAAGUCCGUAAUCUAAUACGCGAAUGCUAACGAUUCCACCAAUGUCAACCAUCACUGAAUUAUCUGCCCAUCGAUUUAGUACCACAAUGGCUUUUUUGUGCUCAAAAUUGAGAUA